Molecule: unclassified non-coding RNA, 434 nt
Filed under: soil metagenome
Description: partial contains 5.8S ribosomal RNA, internal transcribed spacer 2, and large subunit ribosomal RNA
Rfam family: 5.8S ribosomal RNA (bases 1-120)
Source: RNAcentral
GAUGAAGAACGCAGCGAAAUGCGAUACGUAAUGUGAAUUGCAGAAUUCAGUGAAUCAUCGAAUCUUUGAACGCAUAUUGCGCUCUUUGGUAUUCCGAAGAGCAUGCUUGUUUGAGUAUCAGUAAACACCUCAAAGCUUUUGGAUUUUUUAAUCGAAAAGCUUUGGACUUGAGCAAUCCCAACACCAAUCUUUUUGAGAUCGGUGGCGGGUUGCUUGAAAUGCAGGUGCAGCUGGACAUUCUCCUGAGCUAAAAGCAUAUUCAUUUAGUCCCGUCAAACGGAUUAUUACUUUUGCUGCAGCUAACAUAAAGGGAGUUUGACCGUAUUGGCUGACUGAUGCAGGAUUUCACAAGGGUCGGCAACGAUUCUUGUUAAACUCGAUCUCAAAUCAAGUAAGACUACCCGCUGAACUUAAGCAUAUCAAUAAGCGGAGGA